This 322-nucleotide long non-coding RNA is filed under the name Physcomitrium patens. Its description in RNAcentral is "long non-coding RNA (PPAT_LNC006687)". The record is from RNAcentral. Lineage: Eukaryota; Viridiplantae; Streptophyta; Bryopsida; Funariales; Funariaceae.
AGAUUGGAGUAUAAUUGAAAACUCACACUUGUAGAUCCCAAAUAGAUAGUACAUAUAGAAGUAAGAGUAAAGAGGGCUUUACUCUUGUCAAUUCCUUUCUUGCUUCUAGUCUAGUUUUAAGAAUCUCUAGUUUCCUUGUCUUUUGGUAAUAGCUAUUUUAGUUUCUUUUUUAAUACACAUACUUCUCUAUUUCUAUUUUUUCAUAUUUUUUUGAGAGAAUAUAACUUGUUUAUUUUAUUUCAUCAAUUUUUUUUUGAUAACCUUGGCAAAUCUGCAUAUCAAUAACAACCAACAAAAAUCCAACUUACCUUUCAAGCUAUUA